This 466-nucleotide ribosomal RNA is filed under the name Caulobacter sp. RNAcentral describes it as "bacterial SSU rRNA". It matches the Rfam family "Bacterial small subunit ribosomal RNA", at positions 1 to 515 of the family's 1533-position model. The record is from RNAcentral. Lineage: Bacteria; Pseudomonadati; Pseudomonadota; Alphaproteobacteria; Caulobacterales; Caulobacteraceae.
CAACCUGAGAGUUUGAUCCUGGCUCAGAGCGAACGCUGGCGGCAGGCCUAACACAUGCAAGUCGAACGAUCCUUCGGGAUAGUGGCGGACGGGUGAGUAACACGUGGGAACGUGCCUUUUGGUUCGGAACAACUCAGGGAAACUUGAGCUAAUACCGAAUGUGCCCUUCGGGGGAAAGAUUUAUCGCCAUUAGAGCGGCCCGCGUCUGAUUAGCUUGUUGGUGAGGUAAAGGCUCACCAAGGCUACGAUCAGUAGCUGGUCUGAGAGGAUGAUCAGCCACAUUGGGACUGAGACACGGCCCAAACUCCUACGGGAGGCAGCAGUGGGGAAUCUUGCGCAAUGGGCGAAAGCCUGACGCAGCCAUGCCGCGUGAAUGAUGAAGGUCUUAGGAUUGUAAAAUUCUUUCACCGGGGACGAUAAUGACGGUACCCGGAGAAGAAGCCCCGGCUAACUUCGUGCCAGCAGC